RNAcentral lists this ribosomal RNA (465 nucleotides) under uncultured bacterium. Its description in RNAcentral is "bacterial SSU rRNA". It matches the Rfam family "Bacterial small subunit ribosomal RNA", at positions 28 to 494 of the family's 1533-position model. The record is from RNAcentral.
GACGAACGCUGGCGGCGUGCCUAACACAUGCAAGUCAACUUGACUGAAGGAGCAAUCUGACAGUAGAGUGGCGCAAGGGUGCGUAACGCGUAAGUAACUUGCCCAAGGUAAGGAAUAACGUCGAGAAAUCGGCGCUAAUACCUCAUAAUGCAGCGGAUCCGCAUGGAUAUGUUGUUAAAGGUUUACCGCCUUGGGAUAGGCUUGCGUCUGAUUAGCUAGUUGGUGUGGUAACGGCACACCAAGGCUACGAUCAGUAACUGGUCUGAGAGGAUGAUCAGUCACACUGGAACUGAGACACGGUCCAGACUCCUACGGGAGGCAGCAGUGAGGAAUAUUGGGCAAUGCUCGAAAGAGUGACCCAGCAACGCCGCGUGGAGGAUGAAGGUAUUCUAUAUCGUAAACUCCUGUGAGAGCAGACGAAAGACAGAUUAUAAUCUGGAUGACUGUAUGCUCAGAGGAAGCCCC